AUGGAAGAAGAACCUCUAAUAUUUGCUGAAGAGGAGGCUGGUACUAGUAAGAAGAAGAAGAAGCGCAAACGCGAGACAAUAAAGCAGACUCAGUGCAAAGCGAAAAUGUUGGUGAAGCUGAUAGAUGGGCGAUGGGAGGUGACGCACUUUGUUCGUGACCACAAUCAUCCGCUCGUGAACAAACCUUCAUUGUCCAAAUACUUGAGAUCCCACCAAGGCAUCUCACCUGAUGAAAAGGAGUUUCUGCGCAUCUUGUAUAACUGCAACUUGACUACAGGACGUAUGAUGCAUGUAAUGGCAGAGUUCUAUGGAUCUGAGAUGAUGGUGCUAUUCGGACCAAAGGCAAUAACAAAUCUUUGUACAAGUUUCUGUAGAGAUGACACAAAGGAGGGUGAUCUGAUUGAGACAAUUGCGCACUUCAAGGAUAUACAAAAAAUAGAUCCAGACUUCUUCUAUAAGGUGAAAUAUGAUGAAGAGGACAGAGUUGUCAACAUAUUUUGGGUGGAUGGCUUAGCUCGAAAAGCUUAUGCGGAGGCGUACCACGAUUGCAUAUCAUUUGACACCACCUACAUGACCAACAUGUACAAUAUGCCGUUCGCGCCCUUCAUAGGAAUAAACCGACAUGGCCAAUCUUUCAUGCUGGGUUGCGCGUUUGUGAGGCAGGAGUUGGCAUCGAGCUUUGAUUGGGUCUUUGGAGCAUUCCUAGAGGCUAUGGAUGGCAAAUCUCCCGACAACUUCAUCACCGAUCAGGAUGGUGCAAUGAGGCAGUCAAUACAGAGCAUCUUUCCAACCACCGUGCACCGCUGUUGUCGAUGGCACAUCAUGAAAAAGGCUCAGGAAAAAGUUGGUUGGCUGUUGUGCCGGAAUCCAGGAGUCUCUGAUGAUUUCAACAAGUGUGUUGACUUCAGCUUCACUAUAGUCGAGUUUGAGUAG
RNAcentral lists this ribosomal RNA (933 nucleotides) under Triticum aestivum (bread wheat). RNAcentral's name for it is "partial small subunit ribosomal RNA". The record is from RNAcentral. Lineage: Eukaryota; Viridiplantae; Streptophyta; Magnoliopsida; Poales; Poaceae.